RNAcentral lists this ribosomal RNA (778 nucleotides) under uncultured Neocallimastigales. RNAcentral's name for it is "partial large subunit ribosomal RNA". The stretch from base 1 to 696 matches the Rfam family "Eukaryotic large subunit ribosomal RNA", at positions 24 to 664 of the family's 3401-position model. The record is from RNAcentral. Lineage: Eukaryota; Fungi; Neocallimastigomycota; Neocallimastigomycetes; Neocallimastigales.
CACGCAUGACACACUGCAUAUCAAUAAGCGGAGGAAAAGAAACUAACAAGGAUUCCCUUAGUAACGGCGAGUGAAGCGGGAAGAGCUCAAAUUUGAAAUCUUCAAGGUUUUACCUUGACGAAUUGUAGUUUAAAGAAGUGUUUUCUGUUGAAGUUUUGGUAAAAGUUCUUUGGAAUAGGACAUCAUAGAGGGUGAGAAUCCCGUAUUUGACCAUUAUUUUCCAGCUGUGUGAUACACUUUCAAAGAGUCGGAUUGUUUGGGAAUGCAGUCCAAAAUGGGUGGUAAAUUUCAUCUAAAGCUAAAUAUUGGCGAGAGACCGAUAGCGAACAAGUACCGUGAGGGAAAGAUGAAAAGAACUUUGAAAAGAGAGUUAAACAGUACGUGAAAUUGUCAAAAGGGAAGCGUUUGACACCAGUGUUGUUUUCUCGAAAAUCAAUUAAAAAUGAUGGGAUUUUGUGUUGUAUUGACUUUAUCAAGCUUUCUUCACUUUUUUCUUAGUCUUUUUUAAUGCACUUUUCGUUUAACAAGUCAACAUCAGUUUCUUUUGUUGUAAAAGAGUCAUUGGAAGGUGGCUUUUUCUUCGGAGAAAGUGUUUAUAGCCUUUGGCUCUCUGCAAUCGGAGAGAUUGAGGUCUGCAGCGUAGAUCCUUCGGGGUUAAAUACAUUUGUGCUAAGCUAUAGUUCUUUAUAGACAACUUGUUGACUAUAAUCUAGUCCUGUAGCUUACUCGCUUAUGCUAUUUUACCUACGCUUAGGAUGUUGAACUACUGAGACAUAGA